This 253-nucleotide ribosomal RNA is filed under the name uncultured bacterium. RNAcentral's name for it is "partial 16S ribosomal RNA". It matches the Rfam family "Bacterial small subunit ribosomal RNA", at positions 524 to 776 of the family's 1533-position model. The record is from RNAcentral.
UACGUAGGGUGCAAGCGUUAAUCGGAAUUACUGGGCGUAAAGCGUGCGCAGGCGGUGAUGUAAGUCAGAUGUGAAAUCCCCGGGCUUAACCUGGGAACUGCAUUUGAGACUGCAUGGCUGGAGUGCGGCAGAGGGGGAUGGAAUUCCGCGUGUAGCAGUGAAAUGCGUAGAUAUGCGGAGGAACACCGAUGGCGAAGGCAAUCCCCUGGGCCUGCACUGACGCUCAUGCACGAAAGCGUGGGGAGCAAACAGG